Molecule: ribosomal RNA, 447 nt
Filed under: uncultured bacterium
Lineage: Bacteria
Description: partial 16S ribosomal RNA
Rfam family: Bacterial small subunit ribosomal RNA
Source: RNAcentral
AGCGAACGCUGGCGGCAGGCUUAACACAUGCAAGUCGAACGCCCCGCAAGGGGAGUGGUAGACGGGUGGAUAACACGUGGGAACGUACCCUUUGGUUCGGAACAACUUGGGGAAACUCAAGCUAAUACCGGAUAAGCCCUUAUGGGGAAAGGUUUACUGCCGAAGGAUCGGCCCGCGUCUGAUUAGCUAGUUGGUGAGGUAAUGGCUCACCAAGGCGACGAUCAGUAGCUGGUCUGAGAGGAUGAUCAGCCACACUGGGACUGAGACACGGCCCAGACUCCUACGGGAGGCAGCAGUGGGGGAUAUUGGACAAUGGGGGCAACCCUGAUCCAGCCAUGCCGCGCGAGUGAUGAAGGCCUUAGGGUUGUAAAGCUCUUUUACCCGGGACGAUAAUGACUGUACCGGGAGAAUAAGCCCCGGCUAACUUCGUGCCAGCCGCCGCCGUAA